This 482-nucleotide ribosomal RNA is filed under the name uncultured bacterium. RNAcentral describes it as "bacterial SSU rRNA". It matches the Rfam family "Bacterial small subunit ribosomal RNA", at positions 8 to 507 of the family's 1533-position model. The record is from RNAcentral.
AGAGUUUGAUCAUGGCUCAGAUUGAACGCUGGCGGCAUGCUUUACACAUGCAAGUCGAACGGUAAGGCCCUUCGGGGUACACGAGUGGCGAACGGGUGAGUAACACGUGGGUGAUCUGCCCUGCACUUCGGGAUAAGCCUGGGAAACUGGGUCUAAUACCGGAUAGGACCAUGGACUUCACGGUUUGUGGUGGAAAGCUUUUGCGGUGUGGGAUGGGCCCGCGGCCUAUCAGCUUGUUGGUGGGGUAAUGGCCUACCAAGGCGACGACGGGUAGCCGGCCUGAGAGGGUGUCCGGCCACACUGGGACUGAGAUACGGCCCAGACUCCUACGGGAGGCAGCAGUGGGGAAUAUUGCACAAUGGGCGCAAGCCUGAUGCAGCGACGCCGCGUGAGGGAUGACGGCCUUCGGGUUGUAAACCUCUUUCAAUAGGGACGAAGCGCAAGUGACGGUACCUAUAGAAGAAGCACCGGCCAACUACGUG